RNAcentral lists this ribosomal RNA (465 nucleotides) under Niceteria macrocosma. RNAcentral describes it as "eukaryotic LSU rRNA". The record is from RNAcentral. Lineage: Eukaryota; Metazoa; Arthropoda; Insecta; Lepidoptera; Geometridae.
UUCAAUAGUACGUGAAACCGUCCAGGGGUAAACCUGCGAAACUCGAAUGAACGAACGGAGAGAUUCAUCGUCAUUCCUCGGCGCACUUGCGUUGGCGCGAUGUCUUCGGCCUCGGUCGUCGGCACGUCUCGCGUUCGUCGCGUCCGCGGACGGCGUGCACUUCUCUCUUAGUAAUACAUCGCGACCCGUUCGAUGUCGGUCUAAGUGCGCCCAGCGGGAGUCUCCGCACCCUCUCGGGGUGUGCGGAGACCGCGUCGGCGCCACCGACCGGCUGUCGGACGGUAGAUUUGACGAAACGCUCACGCGCUCGCGCGCGUCCGGCCCGACGCAAGGCAACGCCGUAUCCCACGUUCUGCCCGAGUGCGGACGAGGGUGCUGCGCGCCUGUCGUCGCAGCCGUGCUGUCUCGGACUGUGUGCGUAUCUGUCUGCGAUGAUUCAGUUUCGGGCACUCGCAGGACCCGUCU